Molecule: ribosomal RNA, 587 nt
Filed under: uncultured beta proteobacterium
Lineage: Bacteria; Pseudomonadati; Pseudomonadota; Betaproteobacteria
Description: bacterial SSU rRNA
Rfam family: Bacterial small subunit ribosomal RNA
Source: RNAcentral
CCUACGGGAGGCAGCAGUGGGGAAUUUUGGACAAUGGGCGAAAGCCUGAUCCAGCCAUGCCGCGUGAGUGAAGAAGGCCUUCGGGUUGUAAAGCUCUUUCGGCCGGGAAGAAAUCGUGUGGGCUAAUACCCUGCAUGGAUGACGGUACCGGAAUAAGAAGCACCGGCUAACUACGUGCCAGCAGCCGCGGUAAUACGUAGGGUGCGAGCGUUAAUCGGAAUUACUGGGCGUAAAGCGUGCGCAGGCGGUUUGGUAAGACAGGCGUGAAAUCCCCGGGCUCAACCUGGGAACUGCGCUUGUGACUGCCUCACUAGAGUACGGCAGAGGGGGGUGGAAUUCCACGUGUAGCAGUGAAAUGCGUAGAGAUGUGGAGGAACACCGAUGGCGAAGGCAGCCCACUGGGCCGAUACUGACGCUCAUGCACGAAAGCGUGGGUAGCAAACAGGAUUAGAUACCCUGGUAGUCCACGCCCUAAACGAUGUCAACUAGUUGUUGGGGGGGUAAAACCCUUUAGUAACGUAGCUAACGCGUGAAGUUGACCGCCUGGGGAGUACGGCCGCAAGGUUAAAACUCAAAGGAAUUGACGG